UUCAGCCUUUUCUUUGCCAGGACGCGGCUGUGGCAUUUCUGGUCUUGUAAACAUCGGACUCUUUGGGGCCUUAAAAAAAAUAAAGACGCCCCUCCUUCCUUUACUGGGGGCUUCUAAAUCCGUUCCAUUCCACUGCGAAGCGGAGCAGGACCUAAGAAAUGGAGAGAAAAUUAAACGUCAUAAAGAAAAGUUCAUUUACAUCUUAAAUGUCUGAAUGUUACGGUUUCCUUCAGAAAACAAGGCGGUACACUCGAUCCAGAGGCGGAAAGAAAGGGAGAGAAGCAGGAAAAUGCGACAGAAGCGUUUUACCCGGGCAGCUAGCAAAGAAAGAGGCUGUAGUCGGUGGAACUGGAAGCAAAGCGCGUAAGGACCCGGUGCGGGGGCAGCGAUCCCCGAGCGCUGAGCGGGCUGCGAGGAGGCCUGGGGGUAGCGCUGGGGAUGAACAGAGAGAAAGAAGGAAAGAAAAUUAAUUGGUGUGGGGAUAUCUGCGGAGGACUUACCUUUUUCCUGGACCUCACAGCUCGUUUUCGCCUCCUCUGGGCUCAUUUUAAGGUCUAAUCAUUGCUUUUUAAAUUGAAAUUCUAAUGGCAAAGGAAGGGAAAGAUGCACAGAAAACAAUGAUGGGGAAUUCUGGGUCAAUCUGAUGCUCCAAAAGCCUCUAAUUGUUGUCACCUCCACCCU
Non-coding RNA from Chlorocebus sabaeus (green monkey), 681 nucleotides. The record is from RefSeq and is a predicted model, not a curated record. Lineage: Eukaryota; Metazoa; Chordata; Mammalia; Primates; Cercopithecidae.